AUUGAACGCUGGCGGCAUGCUUUACACAUGCAAGUCGAACGGCAGCGCGGGCUUCGGCUUGGAGGCGAGUGGCGAACGGGUGAGUAAUGCAUCGGAACGUGCCCAGUUGUGGGGGAUAGCCCGGCGAAAGCCGGAUUAAUACCGCAUACGACCUGAGGGUGAAAGCGGGGGAUCGCAAGGCCUUGCGCUAUUGGAGCGGCCGAUGUCGGAUUAGCUGGUUGGUGGGGUAAAGGCUUACUAAGGCGACGAUCCGUAGCUGGUCUGAGAGGACGACCAGCCACACUGGGACUGAGACACGGCCCAGACUCCUACGGGAGGCAGCAGUGGGGAAUUUUGGACAAUGGGGGCAACCCUGAUCCAGCCAUGCCGCGUGCGAGAAGAAGGCCUUCGGGUUGUAAACCGCUUUUGUUCGGGAAGAAAUCCUCUGGGCUAAUACCCCGGGGGGAUGACGGUACCGGAAGAAUAAGCACCGGCUAACUACGUG
This 484-nucleotide ribosomal RNA is filed under the name uncultured bacterium. RNAcentral's name for it is "partial 16S ribosomal RNA". It matches the Rfam family "Bacterial small subunit ribosomal RNA", at positions 28 to 507 of the family's 1533-position model. The record is from RNAcentral.